Molecule: long non-coding RNA, 110 nt
Organism: Oryctolagus cuniculus (rabbit)
Lineage: Eukaryota; Metazoa; Chordata; Mammalia; Lagomorpha; Leporidae
Rfam family: Maternally expressed 8 exon 2
Source: Rfam
UGCAGAUGGCCCCGGCACUGCGGCUGUGCGGUUCCCUUCGCUGAAAACCACCUCGUAUUCUGUGCGCGCUGACAGGCAUCUGUCAGAGGGUCCUGUCGCCUGCUCUGUGG